GACAGAGGGGGCAAGCGUUGCUCGGAAUCACUGGGCGUAAAGGGCUUGUAGGUGGCCAACUAAGUCAGACGUGAAAUCCCUCGGCUUAACCGGGGAACUGCGUCUGAUACUGGAUGGCUUGAGUGUGGGAGAGGGAUGCGGAAUUCCAGGUGUAGCGGUGAAAUGCGUAGAUAUCUGGAGGAACACCGGUGGCGAAGGCGGCAUCCUGGACCAUUACUGACACUGAAAAGCGAAAGCCAGGGGAGCAAACGGG
This 253-nucleotide ribosomal RNA is filed under the name uncultured bacterium. RNAcentral's name for it is "partial 16S ribosomal RNA". It matches the Rfam family "Bacterial small subunit ribosomal RNA", at positions 524 to 776 of the family's 1533-position model. The record is from RNAcentral.